AUAUUUUUUUUAUCAAAAAAAGGUUUAUGUAUGUAUAAAAUAUAAAUAUAUAUAUAAAAAAAUGUAAUAUACAUGUUUUAAACCUAUAUAUAAAAUGUUUUUUUUUUAUCGUUAUAUAUAUAUAUAUAUACCUCUUUUAUCCCGCUCAGAAAUAAAAUCACCCGCAGGCCACCUGUAGGGGAACCCUGGAGACAACACGAUAACAUCUCUGUUCACUCAGAGCUACAUCAUCUCUAAAGAGAGGUGACUGCCUGUAGGGGAACCCUGGAGACAACACUAUAACAUCUCUGUUCACUCAGAGCUACAUCAUCUCUAAAGAGAGGUGGCUGCCUGUAGGGGAACCCUGGAGACAACACUAUAACAUCUCUGUUCACUCAGAGCUACAUCAUCUCUAAAGAGAGGUGGCUGCCUGUAGGGGAACCCUGGAGACAACACUAUAACAUCUCUGUUCACUCAGAGCUACAUCAUCUCUAAAGGGAGGUGGCUGCCUGUAGGGGAACCCUGGAGACAACACUAUAACAUCUCUGUUCACUCAGAGCUACAUCAUCUCUAAAGAGAGGUGGCUGCCUGUAGGGGAACCCUGGAGACAACACUAUAACAUCUCUGUUCACUCAGAGCUACAUCAUCUCUAAAGAGAGGUGGCUGCCUGUAGGGGAACCCUGGAGACAACACUAUAACAUCUCUGUUCACUCAGAGCUACAUCAUCUCUAAAGAGAGGUGGCUGCCUGUAGGGGAACCCUGGAGACAACACUAUAACAUCUCUGUUCACUCAGAGCUACAUCAUCUCUAAAGAGAGGUGGCUGCCUGUAGGGGAACCCUGGAGACAACACUAUAACAUCUCUGUUCACUCAGAGCUACAUCAUCUCUAAAGAGAGGUGGCUGCCUGUAGGGGAACCCUGGAGACAACACUAUAACAUCUCUGUUCACUCAGAGCUACAUCAUCUCUAAAGAGAGGUGGCUGCCUGUAGGGGAACCCUGGAGACAACACUAUAACAUCUCUGUUCACUCAGAGCUACAUCAUCUCUAAAGAGAGGUGGCUGCCUGUAGGGGAACCCUGGAGACAACACUAUAACAUCUCUGUUCACUCAGAGCUACAUCAUCUCUAAAGAGAGGUGGCUGCCUGUAGGGGAACCCUGGAGACAACACUAUAACAUCUCUGUUCACUCAGAGCUACAUCAUCUCUAAAGAGAGGUGGCUGCCUGUAGGGGAACCCUGGAGACAACACUAUAACAUCUCUGUUCUCUCAGAGCUACAUCAUCUCUAAAGAGAGGUGGCUGCCUGUAGGGGAACCCUGGAGACAACACUAUAACAUCUCUGUUCACUCAGAGCUACAUCAUCUCUAAAGAGAGGUGGCUGCCUGUAGGGGAACCCUGGAGACAACACUAUAACAUCUCUGUUCACUCAGAGCUACAUCAUCUCUAAAGAGAGGUGGCCACCUGUAGGGGAACCCUGGAGACAACACUAUAACAUCUCUGUUCUCUCAGAGCUACAUCAUCUCUAAAGGGAGGUGGCUGCCUGUAGGGGAACCCUGGAGACAACACUAUAACAUCUCUGUUCGCUCAGAGCUACAUCAUCUCUAAAGAGAGGUGACUGCCUGUAGGGGAACCCUGGAGACAACACUAUAACAUCUCCACUGUAUUUCAGCCCUGCCACAAAAGGACCAACUGACAUCAUACAU
Long non-coding RNA from Oncorhynchus keta (chum salmon), 1678 nucleotides. RefSeq lists it as uncharacterized. Lineage: Eukaryota; Metazoa; Chordata; Actinopteri; Salmoniformes; Salmonidae. The transcript is spliced from 3 exons. The record is from RefSeq and is a predicted model, not a curated record.